AUGAUCAAGAAAAAUAAUUUGAUAAGACAUUGUCAACCUUAACGACGGAAGUGAAUAGGGUUGUACAUGUGUGUCAGAAAACAAGAGUUUAUACAGAUUUAUAUCUUCAUUUAUAUAUUACAUUUAUACCCAACUGUAGUUAAGUUAGCGACCCCUUGAUAUGAUAUAUACAUGUACAUUGUACUACUAUUGUAGGGAUUUCUUCAUAUAAUGAUUGACUAUUCCGGGCACUGACCUGGUCUGAGUGGGUACUCUGUAGCCGUGUCCGCAGAGUGGUCAGUGGAUUUUGUAACCUCGGUGGAAUGGUGGCCUGUAGUGACUUGAGACCGGCUUGAGGUAGCUUGUGAGGACCCUUUGCUAACUGAACAAAGAAAGUAGAAGGAUGGCGUUGUGAUUUGACAAUAGAGAGAGAGAGAGUAAUCUGGAGACCAUCUGACGUACUAUGGUCCGGUGUAGUUUUCCCUGCUGUAUACCCUGAACCUGUCGUCUGCCCAUUCGACGUGGGAUCGCUACUGCUCGACUUUGUCGUUAGCUUGUGCAUGUGUUCAUCCGUGUGGAAGGAAGUUGUUGCAGCGAAAGAUGAGGUUUCAUCAACUACAAGGAUAUAUUGAAUCCUAAAUCGAACGAUAUUCUUAACAGAAGUCAUUGAAUGAAGUUAAUAGAGGAAAUGCAUAGUUGACGACGAGAAUUCUAGCUAUUCUUCAUUAUUCGCUCAGACUUGCAUGUAGAUCACAGAAAAGAUGAAUAUCUAUCAACGUAUUUCAGCGUAGUUGCAGUGUCAUUUUUGAAGUUGAUGUCGAAUAAAGGGAUUCUUUAUAUCUUAGCCAAGAAAUAAGAAUAAAACUUUAGUC
Long non-coding RNA from Ostrea edulis (European flat oyster), 851 nucleotides. RefSeq lists it as uncharacterized. The transcript is spliced from 3 exons. The record is from RefSeq and is a predicted model, not a curated record. NCBI's taxonomy places the organism in Eukaryota, Metazoa, Mollusca, Bivalvia, Ostreida, Ostreidae.